RNAcentral lists this ribosomal RNA (433 nucleotides) under uncultured bacterium. RNAcentral's name for it is "partial 16S ribosomal RNA". It matches the Rfam family "Bacterial small subunit ribosomal RNA", at positions 29 to 507 of the family's 1533-position model. The record is from RNAcentral.
AACGAACGCUGGCGGCAUGCCUAACACAUGCAAGUCGAUCGAGCCCUUCGGGUCUUGUGGCGCCUGGGUGCGUAACGCGUGGGAACCUGCCCUUAGGUUCGGCAUAACUCCCCGACAGGGGUGCCAAUACCGGAUCAUGUCUUCUGCCCGAAGAUUUAUCGCAUUUGGUUGGUCCCGCGUUGGAUUAGCUUGUUGUUAGGGUAAUAGCCUACCAAGGCGCGGAUCCAUAACUGGUCAGAGAGAAUGAUCAGCCACUCUGGGACUCAGACACGGCCCAGACUCCUACGGGAGGCAGCAGUGGGGAAUAUUGGACAGCGGGCGGAAGGCUGAUCCAGCUAGGCCGCGUAAGUGCUGAAGGCCUUAGGGUUGUAAAGCGCUUUUACCCGGGAUGAUAAUGACAGUACCGGGAGAAUAAGCCCCGGCUAACUACGUG